UACGUAGGCAGCAAACGUUGUUCGGAAUUACUGGGCGUAAAGCGCGUGUAGGCGGUUCGGUAAGUCCGCUGUGAAAGUCGAGGGCUCAACCCUCGGAUGCCGGUGGAUACUGUCGGACUAGAGUACGGAAGAGGCGAGUGGAAUUCCUGGUGUAGCGGUGAAAUGCGCAGAUAUCAGGAGGAACACCAAUUGCGAAGGCAGCUCGCUGGGACGUUACUGACGCUGAGACGCGAAAGCGUGGGGAGCAAACAGG
Molecule: ribosomal RNA, 253 nt
Filed under: uncultured bacterium
Lineage: Bacteria
Description: partial 16S ribosomal RNA
Rfam family: Bacterial small subunit ribosomal RNA
Source: RNAcentral